CGCAAACAAAUUAGGGUAGCAGUUCUGAGAAGCACUGCCGAUCGCCGUCCGUAACUAAGGAGAAUCAAACACAGGGCAAUUAGGAGAAGCACAGCCGAAGAAACACAGCAAACAAAUUAGUGCAGCAAAAGCGUCCUAAGGAGAAUCAAAACUAAAGCGAAAGGAAAUCUGAUUUUGUCUCUUUGCGUCUGCUUGGGGAGCUCAUUUCUGCGCACAAGAGAUUCAUCUCUACAUUGGGAGUCCUAGCUCCAAGAUGUUGUUGGUGAGAGUUGAACCCAAAGUACUGACUUUAGGUCAAGUGCUCGACCACUUGAGCUAGCCCACGGGACUUACUAUUGUUUGUUUAUCUGCACAUAAAGUGUACUGACUUUAGGUCAGGUGUUCGACCACUGUACUUGAGCAAGCCUGUAGGGCUUACUAUUGUUUGUUUAUCUGCACAUAAAGUUUUCUGAAAACCUACUUCAAUACAAGAGUUUACCAGAGGUGAUGAUGCAAAGAACAGACAACUCAAGACUUCUGCUAAGAACUUUGAGAAGCCAUUAUAUUCUUGUAUCUUACCAUCCAGGAUAACAUGCAUUCAAUUAUUUGCUUCAAUUCAUUUCUUAAACUUGUCAGGGAUAUGAUGAUAUGUCAAUCUUCAAUUCAUUUCUGUGGAGCCACCAGCGAGAGCAAGACCACUUUUUUCCAUCCCAGUGUCACACUCUAUCUGGGCUGUCUGUCUGUCUAUGUUUUGUUUUAAGGUUUUCCAGUGAUUAUUGUUUUUUUUACUGACUUGUCACAAAUGAGUGACACUUGAGUAAUUUCAUGUUUACUGUAUGUUUAGCUAGGCAUGAAGCUGAGCUCCAAGAAGCUGCUCCUAAUAAUUUCCCACUUUCUUGAUGUUUCUCUGUAUGUUUUCCGAGCCUAAAAAAACGCGCACUAAGAAAAAUUAAUUUACUAUGCU
Ipomoea nil (Japanese morning glory) is the source of this 943-nucleotide long non-coding RNA. RefSeq lists it as uncharacterized. The transcript is spliced from 3 exons. Lineage: Eukaryota; Viridiplantae; Streptophyta; Magnoliopsida; Solanales; Convolvulaceae. The record is from RefSeq and is a predicted model, not a curated record.